GCUGGAGAACUAGGGGGGCUGCUCCUAGUACGAGAGGACCGGAGUGGACGCAUCACUGGUGUCGGGUUGUCAUGCCAAUGGCACUGCCCGGUAGCUAAAUGCGGAAGAGAUAAGUGCUGAAAGCAUCUAAGCACGAAACUUGCCCCGAGAUGAGUUCUCCCUGAGACUUAGAGUCUCCUGAAGGAACGUUGAAGACGACGACGUUGAUAGGCCGGGUGUGUAAGCGCAGCGAUGCGUUGAGCUAACCGGUACUAAUGAACCGUGAGGCUUAACCUUAC
This 278-nucleotide ribosomal RNA is filed under the name Salmonella enterica subsp. enterica serovar Agona str. SA-2. RNAcentral's name for it is "partial 23S ribosomal RNA". It matches the Rfam family "Bacterial large subunit ribosomal RNA", at positions 2652 to 2925 of the family's 2925-position model. Lineage: Bacteria; Pseudomonadati; Pseudomonadota; Gammaproteobacteria; Enterobacterales; Enterobacteriaceae. The record is from RNAcentral.